UUCCGACGCCCGUUCUUGGUCCAAGUCGACUGGUGCCGCACUGCCGUCGCCGCGUGCCUGGCCCAGCAGGACAACAAAGGAUAUGAAUACGCCGUUCAGUUUGCUAGUAAGGCUAUGACUGGCCCACAGCUGAAUUACAGCGCGGCAGAUGGAGAGGCCUACGCUGCCUUAUGGGCAAUUAAACACUUUCACCCCUACUUGUACGGCACUCAUUUUGUACUCAUCACGGAUUCGAUGGCGGUUCGGUCUUUGCGGACUGCACGCGCUCGAGAUCUUCUGGGAAAGCUGGCUCGAUAUGCGCUCAAGCUUCAAGCCUACGACUUUUAAGUGAUGCAUAAGGCCGGACGCAAGAAUUCAAACGUGGAUGGUUUGAGCCGCUUGGGACAUCUGAUGGAGCCCCACCGUAAUUUGCCUACAGAGAUCGACCCCAGUCCGGACCCACUUGAGGAUGCCGCCAUCUUGGCAUGCUCAAUUGCAGCCGUCGCCUCCGAGGUUCAGAUCCUCAUAACUGAACAGGAAGAGGAGUGUAGCCGCGGCAUCAGACCGGAUGAGCCGUCCACAGUGGCUGUACACCAGCCUCCGGCUCUAUCGUUGCCUACACCAGAGCACAACCCCUUGCGUGAAGCAACCAGACCCCUGGUCCCGCUUGGCAAGCGACGCUUGGAUAGGUCAGCUCGUCUGACAUCUGGAGCACCAGAUGAGA
This 703-nucleotide long non-coding RNA is filed under the name Volvox carteri. Its description in RNAcentral is "long non-coding RNA (VCAR_LNC001406)". The record is from RNAcentral. Lineage: Eukaryota; Viridiplantae; Chlorophyta; Chlorophyceae; Chlamydomonadales; Volvocaceae.